Molecule: long non-coding RNA, 746 nt
Organism: Gallus gallus (chicken)
Lineage: Eukaryota; Metazoa; Chordata; Aves; Galliformes; Phasianidae
Exons: 2
Source: RefSeq, a predicted model, not a curated record
UCUGUAAAGGAUGAAAAACCCGAAGUGAGGUGCUGAACAGCUAUGCCAUGGGUAACUGGGAGUCGGGGGAGGGCAGAGUAUUGCAAAGGAAUGCAGAAUACUGUCUGCAGAUUUGCUUAUUUUUAACUUCUGCUUGUUUUAGAAAACUGCAAGCAAAGGGAUUUCAACCUCCACUGAAGCUAAGAAACACUCGUACUGAAAAUCAAAAGGGGAACAGAGCAGAAAAGUAUUUUGCUUCCUUGCUUAGAACAGGACCUCAUAGAUGACCAAAGAGGACAAGUUGAUGCACAACAAAGAGUCCCAACAAAACGAGUUGUCCUGAGGGAGCAAAGGAGGUAACGAGAAAAGGAACCACAAGGAAACCAAGUGAGAAAAGAGAAGGAGUGCAAGUAAGAGCCAAGGAUAAAAAACAGCAGCAAGGAGCAGGAGGGAAGCACUACAGAGUGAGCCCCAGCAGCAUCGUCUUACCACAGCUAACGGAACAAGAAUACAGCUGCUCUUAGCCACAAAGAUACUUAACACUGAGUACAUACCACAAGAAUGUUCUCAGUGCCUAAUAUUUAUGGAUGAACAAUAGAUCAAAAGAAAUAUACAUUAAUUGUCCAUUACAUGCAUGGAGCUCUAAAUCAUGGAUAUCUUUGUAAUCUUAGAUGUUUCCAUCUCCAAUGGAAAUAUCUUUUAUAGCAGCUCUUUCAAAUAUCAUCCUGACAUUAAGGAACUGAAGUAGAAACUGCUUUUAGUUGUUU